AGCAAGGUAGUGCAGUUGGUAGCUCGCCUGGCUCAUAACCAGGAGGUCGGAGGUUCGAGUCCUUCCCUUGCUU
RNAcentral lists this transfer RNA (73 nucleotides) under Oceanospirillaceae bacterium. Its description in RNAcentral is "tRNA-Met". It matches the Rfam family "tRNA". Rfam says of the family: Transfer RNA (tRNA) molecules are approximately 80 nucleotides in length. The record is from RNAcentral. Lineage: Bacteria; Pseudomonadati; Pseudomonadota; Gammaproteobacteria; Oceanospirillales; Oceanospirillaceae.